UAUUUUUGUUUCUGAACCUCCACUGCUACUGUCUUGUUAUCUGUAAAUUGAGAACUUUAAAACGUUGAUGUUUUAGGAUUAAGCUGCUGCAGCUGUGGGUUGUGAUGGUUGAUGCUUUUUAAGAAUCGUUGCUGCUGGGGUAACUAAAAUUGCUAUUGCUAGUUCUAACAUUGCUACUGUUGCUGUUGACUUGCCCCAAUUCAAGUUCAGUGUCACUGCCCUAAAGUCGUUUUUGCGUUUGAUUCCAUCAAAUUCAAUGUUGCUGCGAGUGUAAUCGGAGUUGGUAAUGCCGCCAUCAUAUCUCAACUUGGCCAACAUCAUCCUCCUUGUUCUGAUUCCAAUUUCC
Non-coding RNA from Arachis ipaensis, 346 nucleotides. NCBI's taxonomy places the organism in Eukaryota, Viridiplantae, Streptophyta, Magnoliopsida, Fabales, Fabaceae. The record is from RefSeq and is a predicted model, not a curated record.